GUCGUGGUCGAGCCUAUGGGUCGAGCUGGAAAGGCUUCUUGUCGGCCUUACAAAUGGAAUCUGGUUGCAGGUUUACAAUCACAGAACACAUUCCUGCUCAGGACUUGUAACAGGUUUGUAUUGGAAGCUUCUCGCUUGAAGUCAUGGCGACUGCAUCACUUGGAACAAGUAUCAUAAUCUCAAAUUACACUCAAAAUUAGGGAUAUCUAGCUUUUGGGUGAAAUACAGGAAGUGCUGAAGUACUUAAGCAUUGAACUGUUGGACAGAAAGGUGUUUAGAUGUCCAAGGUGUUUAGAGACAGUCACAUUAAUUUAACCUGUGAAGGUUAUGGUUUUACUUAAGGUUAAUCCUGAGAUUUCACUGGAAAGCUAAAUAUCCCUGACUUUUGUGAGUAGUGUAUGUAGUUUUGGAUUAGUGGUGUAAGUUCUGCUGUUCUAACUGAAUGCAUUUAAAUGGGUGUCUAGACAAGGUAGUUGACCAGUAAUUGAGACAUGAUUAUUUCAGUCAGGGAGAUGUCAAUUAUGUAAAUGUGAGCGGGUACCAGGGGUCAGGAUUUAGAGGGUUAGCUACAGCCAGUUACCAUUUCCACCUUAAAAAUAUGGUGUUGACAAGCGCUUCAGUAACCAUAUUCAAAUACACCAAUUACAUGCCACGUUUCCGAUGACUACAAAUGAUGCUAUCUGUGUGGAUUGGUGGUUGAGCUGGUAGCUUCCUUCUGGGAGGAUCAACCAGUUCACAUGGACGACAUAAAUUGCACAAUUGUCCACAAAUUAUAUUGUCCAUGUGGAUUGUCUUAUCCUCCCUGAAGGAAAUUCUCAGCUCAACCACCAAUUUACUGCAACAUACUGCGGUCUCCAUCUGUAACUUGGCACUGAACUAACUCUAGAUGGUGCUGUGAAGGAGGCCUGUGAAAUGCCAUUCUGAAAGACAGCUGAGGUGAAUUGAGCUAAGAUCAAGUGGUUAGUCUAGCAUGGCCCAAUCGAAUUCAUGGGGGUGGUUGUCCAAUUCUGUAUAUUCCUCCAUGGUGAACAGUUAGUGUUAGUUCAGUGCCUUCUGGAGUACAGGGAAGCGGUGGCAAUUUAAACUUUUUUUUGUGUUGGGGCAUCUGAUCCAUGUUGAAUGUGCUUUGUUUUAUGUUUUCCAAUAAAAGGAGGAAAUGUA
Long non-coding RNA from Sardina pilchardus (European sardine), 1161 nucleotides. RefSeq lists it as uncharacterized. NCBI's taxonomy places the organism in Eukaryota, Metazoa, Chordata, Actinopteri, Clupeiformes, Clupeidae. The transcript has 3 exons. The record is from RefSeq and is a predicted model, not a curated record.